AAAUGAAUAGACGGGGACCCGCACAAGCAGCGGAGCAUGUUGUUUAAUUCGAAGCAACGCGAAAAACCUUACCAAGGCUUGACAUUUGAUGCAUAUCCAAGAGAUUGGAGAAUUUAUAGCAAUAUAACAUCUAAACAGAUGGUGCAUGGUUGUCGUCAGCUCGUGUCGUGAGAUGUUGGGUUAAGUCCCGCAACGAGCGCAACCCUUGUCAAUAGUUGCCAUCAUUCAGUUGGGGACUCUAUUGAGACUGCCGUAGACAAUACGGAGGAAGGUGGGGACGAUGUCAAAUCAUCAUGCCUCUUACGCCUUGGGCUACAAACGUGCUACAAUGGUCAUUACAAAGAGAUGCAAAACAGCAAUGUGGAGCCAACCUCAAAAAGAUGACCCCAGUUCAGAUUGUGGGCUGAAACUCGCCCACAUGAAGUCGGAGUUGCUAGUAAUCCCAAAUCAUCAUGUUGGGGUGAAUGCGUUCCCGGGUCUUGUACACACCGCCCGU
RNAcentral lists this ribosomal RNA (496 nucleotides) under uncultured bacterium. RNAcentral describes it as "bacterial SSU rRNA". It matches the Rfam family "Bacterial small subunit ribosomal RNA", at positions 903 to 1397 of the family's 1533-position model. The record is from RNAcentral.